This is a long non-coding RNA of Clarias gariepinus (North African catfish), 533 nucleotides long. RefSeq lists it as uncharacterized. The transcript has 4 exons. Lineage: Eukaryota; Metazoa; Chordata; Actinopteri; Siluriformes; Clariidae. The record is from RefSeq and is a predicted model, not a curated record.
AGCACGUCUACAACCAGGUUAACCAGCACGACUUCAGUGCCUGUAGAUGUAACUGCAGUUUUUAACUUGACCUUCCGCAUUGAUGAAACAUUUGAUCCAGCACUGGUCAAUACCAACUCUCCCCAGUUUGCAGCAAAAGCUAAAACAAUCCGCAGUCAGAUUGAACCUUUGUACUCCAAAACCUUUAAAAACUUCAAAAACAUGGAAAUUUUACGAUUAAGGAAGGGUUCUACUGUAGUAGAAAGCAACAUCUACUUUAAUUCUAAUGGACCAAAUGUUACUACAUCCGAAGUGAAAAGAACUCUUCUCAAUGGACUUAGUAACUUGGAUUUUACUGUUAUUCCAAACUCCAUCGAUCUCACUCAGACAUUUGGUAAUUCCAUGCCACCAGUGAUCGCCAGCUCACUUUCCAUGAUCUGGAUGUGUCUUUUAUCUCUCCUGCUGUCACUAGUAUUACAUUUCUAGCUCAAGGCUUUAUCAUUAAACAUGACCAAUAAUUAAUAUAUGUAUUUAUAAGAUAAAGGGCAUAUGGG